AGGACUAGCGCUGGCGGCGUGCCUAACACAUGCAAGUCGAGCGGACACCACUUUGUAGCAAUACAGAUGAAGUGUUAGCGGCAGACGGGUGAGUAACACGUAGUCAACCUACCUUACCGUCCGGGAUAACUAGCCGAAAGGUUAGCUAAUACCGCAUACGAUCUUCAAUCGGCAUCUUUUGAAGAUGAAAGGAGCAAUUCGCGCAACGACGGGACUGCGUCCCAUUAGCUAGAUGGUGGGGUAACGGCCUACCAUGGCGACGAUGGGUAGCUGGUUUGAGAGAGCGACCAGCCACACUGGGACUGAGACACGGCCCAGACUCCUACGGGAGGCAGCAGUGAGGAAUUUUCCGCAAUGGGCGAAAGCCUGACGGAGCGACGCCGCGUGUGGGAAGAAGGCCUUCGGGUCGUAAACCACUGUCGAAGGGGAGAUAUUGACGGUACCCUUGGAGGAAGCCCCGGCUAACUACGUGCCAGCAGCCGC
Molecule: ribosomal RNA, 483 nt
Filed under: uncultured bacterium
Lineage: Bacteria
Description: SSU rRNA
Rfam family: Bacterial small subunit ribosomal RNA
Source: RNAcentral